ACGCUCGACACCUACGGGAGGCCGCAGUGGGGAAUAUUGGGCAAUGGAGGCAACUCUGACCCAGCAACGCCGCGUGAAUGAUGAAGGUCUUCGGAUUGUAAAGUUCUGUGACGGGGGACGAACACAAUGACGGUACCCCGAUAGCAAGCCACGGCUAACUACGUGCCAGCAGCCGCGGUAAUCUGAGCGGGCUGGCAAGGC
Molecule: ribosomal RNA, 201 nt
Filed under: uncultured bacterium
Lineage: Bacteria
Description: partial 16S ribosomal RNA
Rfam family: Bacterial small subunit ribosomal RNA
Source: RNAcentral